UGGGGAAUAUUGCACAAUGGGCGCAAGCCUGAUGCAGCCAUGCCGCGUGUAUGAAGAAGGCCUUCGGGUUGUAAAGUACUUUCAGCGGGGAGGAAGGGAGUAAAGUUAAUACCUUUGCUCAUUGACGUUACCCGCAGAAGAAGCACCGGCUAACUCCGUGCCAGCAGCCGCGGUAAUACGGAGGGUGCAAGCGUUAAUCGGAAUUACUGGGCGUAAAGCGCACGCAGGCGGUUUGUUAAGUCAGAUGUGAAAUCCCCGGGCUCAACCUGGGAACUGCCUCUGAUACUGGCAAGCUUGAGUCUCGUAGAGGGGGGUAGAAUUCCAGGUGUAGCGGUGAAAUGCGUAGAGAUCUGGAGGAAUACCGGUGGCGAAGGCGGCCCCCUGGACGAAGACUGACGCUCAGGUGCGAAAGCGUGGUGAGCAAACAGG
RNAcentral lists this ribosomal RNA (429 nucleotides) under Chloroflexota bacterium. Its description in RNAcentral is "Chloroflexi bacterium partial 16S ribosomal RNA". It matches the Rfam family "Bacterial small subunit ribosomal RNA", at positions 355 to 776 of the family's 1533-position model. Lineage: Bacteria; Bacillati; Chloroflexota. The record is from RNAcentral.